UCGUCUCGCCAUGUUCCCUGUCGUAUUGUCUCACUACUGCUGCGCCCGACUGCACACAAGGCUUCAGUAUUAGCAUAAGGUCUUUGGCUCUUGGACAAUCUUUCUCUCAAUUAUUGUUGAUUUAUAUUGUAUUCUAGUGUGUUAUCUUACAUUCCGAUACUAUAUUUAGUAAAUUAGUUUGUUUCUCCUCAGAUUGUUGCCGCUGUUUUUAAUUAUUUUGGGGUCCCUUGUUUCCUUUCCUGGAGGCGCGGAUUUUGUGAAAUCCCUCCACCCCACUAGUCACGGAACCGGGCCGGACCAGCCCUUUAAACCGUUGACAAUUGGACAAUUUAAUAAGUAGCUGAAUUAAUUAAAAACAAAAUGUAUAAAAUUAGUCCUAAAUGGGAGAAACAAUAUUACAUUUCAGGUAGUGCUGUGUUACAUUUACAUAUACUAUGGCUGAGAUCAUAAUUGGCCAAAGCAAAAGAAGCAGUAAUAUGUACACAAAGAACACUCCAAUCCCCCUUGAAAAAUAUUCUAAUAAUACAAAACAAUAUGUUAAUUGUUGGGAGUAAUGGAUUUCAUUAGACGAACAUCCGCUUGCAAGUCAGAGAACCAGAAUGAAAGACAGCUGUGCAUGCAUACACAUGCAAAAUCAGUGUGCUUUAGUGUUCACUCUGUGCCUGUAUGGAGUAUGCUGCUACACCUAUUAACAAGACUUAUUUCAAAUGGCAAUUUUUCAAUACCAUUCUGUGAAGAAGCAUGAUUCAGUCCUAGAUACUAUCUCAAACAGCAGUCGUAUUUAUUUACAGUUUAUCUUUAGAUAGCAAAAUAUGAGUCAAAUUAUUUAUUAUAAGUUAUUAUUCAAGUAAAUGUUUCUUUCCUGGAAUACAAACAAACAAAAAGGCAACAGUGGAAGUAAAAGUAAAUAAUUUUCUUUUAUUCAAAAAAGUGAGACUGAGAUUGCUCUUUUCUUGUUUCAUUUCUCUUCUUCCUUGUUUCAGUUCUCUUCUUUGGAUGACUUUCCCCAGAUUUUCUCCAAUCACUGUAAAAAUGUGAUGAAUCUUUCCUGUGUGUUGUACCACAUUCUUGUACAGCUAUUGACAAACUGAUUCAGGUUCCUGCUCAAAAUUCAACAGCUGGCUUUCAAAAACCUUGUAGGCUAAAUCUCCUUUUAAUAUAUUUAUGAGGAUACAUUUAUCUGUGUGUGUGAAAUUAUGAAUGUAGUUGCUUUGAUAUUCUAGGCCAGAACCAGAAACUAGGGCUGAUUCUCUUGCCCAGUGAUUACGAUAUCUGCGUGUAAAAUUGUAUUCUGCCUCUUUCUGAGACAGCCUAUUUUAUAGAAGCUUAAGGUAUUUUUUUCCUGCAAAUUAUGAAGAAAAUGUUUAUGAAUUUCCUCAAACUAAGGAAAGUGUGUGCAUCUCCAAUAUCAUAGUCGAGUGACAUACUGUUCUGGUACUACAUUACUAUAGAUAUGUUUGAGGAAUAAAGAGCAGCUAAUGUUUCCUGCUUCUCUUGACCAUCUAAAUGCAUUCUGCAAAUUCAUGAAUGUCUUAACCACGUUUCUGGCAAAUAAACUACUGACAAAUAACAUUACCCUUGUAAUGUUAUUGGACAACCCUGGCUGUAAAGGUAAAACCUCGGCAUGCUUCUACUCAGAAAACAGCUCUGUAAAAUUUGCAUUGUGAGGCUCUGGAUUUAUUGUCUCUCAGGGACUGCAGAGAAAGUUUUCCUAAGUGUAAGUACUGGAAACUAUGAAAGCUGCUUUGAUUUCUUUCUGACUUCUACAUUAACACAAUUAUUAAAGACUCUGUC
Long non-coding RNA from Gallus gallus (chicken), 1794 nucleotides. NCBI's taxonomy places the organism in Eukaryota, Metazoa, Chordata, Aves, Galliformes, Phasianidae. The record is from Ensembl.